AAUAAAUAAAAGGAUCUAUAUUAGAUGUUCAUCAUGACUAAUGGUGCUACUUCAAUUGUAUAGAAAAAGAGUAACCUUCUAUGUUCCGCUUUCUCUAGCUUUUUCUUUAUAGGAUUUUGAAAAAAGGAUGAUAUAUAUUGUAUUGCUCAAUACAUGCUAUUCUGUUUCCCAUACCUUUGGCAUAGCGAUCCAAAUAUAAGCUAACUGUGUGCGAAAUUUAAUUUCAUUUGAAUGCUAGAGGUGGUUACUGUGCUUGUAAUUUAUUACUGGAAUUUAAAACAUAACCAUUUCAUCGUUGAAUUACAAUAUUUAGAUAUUGUUUGAGCAUGGAAAUUAAUUCUAAUUGUUCUGUUGCUAUUUAAGGUUUGACUAUUAUUGGGGUGUCUUUUCCAUGUUCGCUGAGUUGUCAGCAUAAAUGUGCAUAAUGAUUUGAAAGUAAAUGUAUCUCAACCCCUAGUUAGGUUGUGUAAGCGUUGAUCAAACCUCUUUUUAGCAGUUUAAUGAAUUGCAUGAUUUUAUUUGCUGUUCUGUCGAAUGACUUUGUUUGGUUGUCUUUUGCAAUAUCUUUAACAAAUUGAUUAUAGUGGCACUGUUCAAUUCUCACGCAUGCCAUGGUUCUUCUCAACCAAUUGAUUUGGGUAAUAAUUUCUUUUUACUUGUUGUUGUUCCCUUAUUAAUAUGCACAUAUAUUUACUUUUAUGGGUUGUAUGCAUCUCUAUCUGGGUAUAUUAUUAUUAUUUUUUCUUAUUUGAUAUUAUCCAGCCCCAGUGGACAACAAUUUAUAUCCUGUAAGGAAGUUGCUGCAUAUUUGCAAUCACUUUUUGGACCAUAUGAUGCUCAACAAGUGAAGGAUCAUGCAGGUGACAGUAUCCAGCAGGUCCACAGACUAGCUUCUGAAAGUUAUGGAGGUGCGACCAAGAAGGAUGAAGAUCAGAGGCAAG
RNAcentral lists this unclassified non-coding RNA (941 nucleotides) under Hevea brasiliensis (rubber tree). The record is from RNAcentral. Lineage: Eukaryota; Viridiplantae; Streptophyta; Magnoliopsida; Malpighiales; Euphorbiaceae.